CAUUGGUGGAAGACAAAAUGUAUUUAUUUUAAUAUUCAUUGUUUUAUCACUGUGUCCUACAUAUAUAUUUUUAAUUUUUUCCGUAAGUGUUGAGCAGCUGCAGGAAUCAAUUUUUAUUCCGAGUUAAUCUCUGAUUCACCCUCCGAAGCGGAAGGCGGCGCUAAUGAGCAUUAAUACGAAACACAGAAGAAGUAAAGGUAUAUGGGCGGGAACAGCACCAAAGAGGCAACACGGACGACUGGAGAAAGUUGGACCUAAAGGCAGCAACUAGCAUCACUGGACUUACAGGUUAGGGUUGUGAAGGAGCUCUUGGACCUCUGGCCUGCUCUAAAAAUGGAGUCUGAGUUGUAUGCAGAGUUUCAGCGGAUUACAAAUCAGAACCUGCCCAAUACAUUCUACGCUGAACUUGACCGCCAUCUUCCUCGACUGAUGACCUUAUUCAGCCAGGGCAUCAAAAACUGGGAAGACAGCAGAUGCCCUGGUUGAAAUUCUAAGAAUUCACAAUGAACAGGAAAUCCAUGAUAUCCACACCAAGUGCACUACCGUUCUCCCUGCCCUUCCUGUCUAUCUGCAUGAGGAUGUCUCUGGAUUUUUCAGAACCUGCACUGACGAAUCUGAUGAGUUGGAGCUUGAUGGUGUUGAAGUGGCCUCUUCACUGUCAUCAGUGACCAUCACACAAUAAGUCCAGUUCACUACCAACCUGUGAAAAUCUCUGUCGUCAUUGAAAGUGAUGCCGUGUUCAGUCUCCCCAGAUUUGGUGAAGCCUUCCUAGUAAUGUUUGGACUGAUCUAUGCACUUCACCACAGCUACCCCAAAGCCCUGACC
Long non-coding RNA from Astatotilapia calliptera (eastern happy), 825 nucleotides. The record is from Ensembl. Lineage: Eukaryota; Metazoa; Chordata; Actinopteri; Cichliformes; Cichlidae.